Molecule: non-coding RNA, 85 nt
Organism: Lactococcus lactis
Lineage: Bacteria; Bacillati; Bacillota; Bacilli; Lactobacillales; Streptococcaceae
Rfam family: ctRNA
About the family: Rolling circle replication plasmids contain a number of mechanisms to maintain a low copy number. One of these methods is to transcribe a small RNA called ctRNA (for counter-transcribed RNA) than is transcribed on the opposite strand to RepB the replication initiation protein. ctRNA binds to the mRNA of repB and causes translational inhibition.
Source: Rfam
UGAUAAGUUGCUCCUUAUGAGUAAUUUUAGUUAAGCAUAGAGAAGUCAUUUAGCGGUGUACUUUCUCUAUGCUUUUAUUAUAUCA